RNAcentral lists this ribosomal RNA (163 nucleotides) under uncultured bacterium. RNAcentral's name for it is "partial 16S rRNA". It matches the Rfam family "Bacterial small subunit ribosomal RNA", at positions 355 to 511 of the family's 1533-position model. The record is from RNAcentral.
UAAGGAAUCUUCCACAAUGGCGAAAGUCUGAUGGAGCAACGCCGCGUGAGUGAAGAAGGGUUUCGGCUCGUAAAACUCUGUUGUUAAAGAAGAACAUAUCUGAGAGUAACUGUUCAGGUAUUGACGGUAUUUAACCAGAAAGCCACGGCUAACUACGUGCCAG